GGCGGCGCGCUUAACACAUGCAAGUCGAGCGAGAACCAGUCCUUCGGGACUGGGGACAGCGGCGAACGGGUGAGUAACACGUGGGUAAUCGACCCUUGGUACCGGGAUAGCCCGGGGAAACUCGGAUUAAUACCGGAUGGCCCAGCAGCUCUUCGGGGCGGCUGGAAAAGGUAGCUUCGGCCUCCGACCAAGGACGAGCCCGCGGCGGAUUAGCUUGUUGGCGGGGUAACGGCCCACCAAGGCGACGAUCCGUAGCUGGUCUGAGAGGACGAUCAGCCACACUGGGACUGAGACACGGCCCAGACUCCUACGGGAGGCAGCAGUGGGGAAUCUUGCGCAAUGGGCGAAAGCCUGACGCAGCGACGCCGCGUGGGGGAAGAAGGCUUUCGGGUUGUAAACCCCUUUCAGGAAGGACGAAGCUACUCGGGUUAAUAGCCCA
This 439-nucleotide ribosomal RNA is filed under the name uncultured Actinomycetes bacterium. RNAcentral's name for it is "bacterial SSU rRNA". It matches the Rfam family "Bacterial small subunit ribosomal RNA", at positions 38 to 470 of the family's 1533-position model. The record is from RNAcentral. Lineage: Bacteria; Bacillati; Actinomycetota; Actinomycetes.